Molecule: long non-coding RNA, 620 nt
Filed under: Homo sapiens (human)
Lineage: Eukaryota; Metazoa; Chordata; Mammalia; Primates; Hominidae
Description: long non-coding RNA NONHSAT192305.1
Source: RNAcentral
CGGCGAUCGGCGGCGUUGAGGCGGGAUCCGGGCGAGCCGAGUGAAGACCUGGUCCUGUAGACGGGAAGGAGCCUGGACACAGUGACACAUUCUCAAAGGCCCUGCAGGACCACCAUGGCUUAUGAUGACUCCGUGAAGAAAGAAGAUUGUUUUGAUGGUGAUCAUACCUUUGAGGACAUAGGACUUGCAGCUGGCCGAAGCCAACGAGAGAAAAAACGUUCUUACAAAGAUUUUUUAAGGGAAGAGGAAGAAAUUGCUGCUCAGGUCAGGAAUUCUUCCAAGAAGAAGUUGAAGGUAAUGAACUUUACUUCUUGGGGACGGACACACACAAGAAGAAGAGGAAGCACUCCUCUGAUGAUUACUACUAUGGAGAUAUUUCGUCUUUGGAAUCGUCACAGAAGAAAAAGAAAAAGUCCAGCCCACAGUCUACUGAUACAGCUAUGGACCUGUUGAAAGCUAUCACUUCCCCACUGGCAGCAGGCUCCAAGCCCUCCAAAAAGACUGGGGAGAAAUCCUCUGGCUCUUCAAGCCAUUCGGAGAGUAAAAAGGAGCACCACAGGAAGAAAGUCAGUGGAAGCAGUGGGGAACUACCCCUAGAGGAUGGUGGCUCCCACAAAUCG